ACAGUCACAGUCAGAACUCUGCUCCACCCCUUUGUUUUCUUCGUUUUUUGUGUUCAGUUUAAUUCCUGCUCCAACUAAAGGUCCAUUAGUUUGGACAAACAAUGAGACCAACACAAAUGUCUCAUAGUAGUUGAAUUUCACAGCUGAUUUCUGUCCAUUGAACAGGUUUUCUGCAUAAAAACCCAAAUCCCUUCAGUUCUUCCAUCAGUAUGUGUGUCAUAGUUCUG
Sphaeramia orbicularis (orbiculate cardinalfish) is the source of this 227-nucleotide long non-coding RNA. RefSeq lists it as uncharacterized. Lineage: Eukaryota; Metazoa; Chordata; Actinopteri; Kurtiformes; Apogonidae. The transcript is spliced from 2 exons. The record is from RefSeq and is a predicted model, not a curated record.